UGGGUUCAACUGCCUUUUCUACCACUU
This 27-nucleotide non-coding RNA is filed under the name Homo sapiens (human). Lineage: Eukaryota; Metazoa; Chordata; Mammalia; Primates; Hominidae. The record is from RNAcentral.